UACGUAUGUGGCAAGCGUUGUCCGGAUUUACUGGGCGUAAAGAGCGCGCAGGCGGUCGUUCAAGUCGAGUGUGAAAGCCCCCGGCUCAACUGGGGAGGGUCACUCGAUACUGAUCGACUCGAAGGCAGAAGAGGGAAGCGGAAUUCCCGGUGUAGUGGUGAAAUGCGUAGAUAUCGGGAGGAACACCAGUGGCGAAGGCGGCUUUCUGGUCUGCUCUUGACGCUGAGGCGCGAAAGCUAGGGUAGCAAACGGG
This 253-nucleotide ribosomal RNA is filed under the name uncultured bacterium. RNAcentral's name for it is "partial 16S ribosomal RNA". It matches the Rfam family "Bacterial small subunit ribosomal RNA", at positions 524 to 776 of the family's 1533-position model. The record is from RNAcentral.